UCCUAUUCUUUUAGUGUCAGAAAUGCUGCAAAUCUGUAUCAGAAAUUUGUGGCUAUAAUCCCUUUCAUUUUUCUUCUAGCUACUGGCAUUUCUAUUCAUUGCUUUCGCCCUGUUGUUAUAUGAUUUCAGCUAUUGGAAUAUUAAAGAUGGAUUCUUAUAACAUUUUGAUAAUCAAUCAUGUGAUAAGUUUAGCAAUGCCAAACUGUGCUGGAAACACCGAUAAGAAUUGCAAUGCAUGGUAGAGGGUCACUGGACCCAGUAUAAAUUUAUGACUUUCUUUUGUCUAGGAUGUAAAGAACUGUUGAAGAAGCUUUUAUACUUCUUGUUUGCUUGAAGCCUUGGAGGGUAGCAAGUAGUCUGGAGAAAAAGGAGAAGGAGGAUGAAUCUUUCCAGCUGCUACUUGGCUCACGCUAUAAUGUAUUAGAGGCACACUGUCUUCUACCUUUGAUAAGAUGGCUAACUUCAGGUGACUCACUGUUAUCAGCUCAGCCACAUUGCCCACAGGGACUGUGAUGGGCACUUUAUGCGACUAUUAAAGGAGGUAGGAACAUAGAAUUGUUUUGUUGUUGUAUGUGUUUCAAAUGUAUGUAGAAAGUUGUAUAUAGAAGUUGAAUAGUCCAAGGGGUGGAUUGAUUUAUUGACUCUCAGCUCCAAAUUCACCCCUUGCCUCUUCCGUGAAUGUGGAUCUGUACCCUUCAACUAUGUUCCUUGCCAGUUGGCAUAACGUUAUGCUUUGCCAGUAGAGGAUCAGGGAGAAAAGAUUUUGAUUUUUGCUUUCUGUGUGCACACGCCACAGGUUCCUGCAGCAUGAGAGGCUUCUCCAGCGUCCGGCUCAUGCAGUGCACCCACACCAGGUUCCUGCGCUGUACAGUGGCCAGCAGUGUCCUCCAGGACUUCCAUUUUUGCGUGGUACUGCAGAACAGAGCCUGCAGUGAGACACCUUCCUGUAUCCAGCUUUCCCCAUAUUCAUCCCUAGAUUCAUGAAUCGGCACCCUAGAUUAUGGUUUUCUGGAGUGAGACGAGUGAAGGUGGAGCAGAGUCCUUCAGUUCCGAGUCUCCAGGAGAGAACCAGCUCUACUCUGAGAUGCAGUUUUUCUACCUCUGUGAACAACGUGCAGUGGUUCCAACAGAAUCCUGGGUUGGCCUCAUCAAUCUGUUUUUCAUGGCUUCAUGGAUGAAGCACAGUGGAAAGUUAUGGUCAAAAAGAAACUCUGAGGAGCUCUGUGGUACCCUACACAUCACAGCCGCCCAACUGAAAGACUCAGGCACAUACUUCUGUGCAGUGGAGGCACAGUUCUCACAGGAAAUCUGCAGCCUGGAUCCGAACUGCAGCUGGGCCUGCAGCCCCAACCCCUUCCGUGAGAGAGGCAUGUUGCCCCCACAGUAUCACUUGCACAGCUUCGGGUUUUCUGAUUGACGUUGCACUUUUAUCUCUGCUAAAAUUAGACAUUUCAGGAUUGCCGUUUAACUUUUUUGUCCUACCCUUUUGCUCUCAGAAAUCUCUUUGCAGGAAAAAGCUUUGAUAUGGAACCACUGGAGCAACUUUUAAAGAUAUCAGGACCCAAUGUACUGUUAAAACAGAUCCUCUAGCAAAGAGCAUAUAAAUUACAUAUAAAUUACUGUGAUAAAAAAGGUUUGAAAAAAUAUAUCCUGGUCGAGAAAUAGCAAAGAGAUGACUCAAUGUCUCAUCUAAAUGCACGUUGUUCACUUUUCUAGUAAAAGGGAAGAGAGCAUGUGUGAUGUAUAUUAUAUAUAUAUAUUUUUUACUCCUGGAACCCAUAAAAGAUAAAAUUUUAAAGCACGUAACAUCAUUGGGUGUCAGACAUUCUCUGAAUUUACAUAUAUUAUCUGGGUGCUGACAAUACCUCUUUACUCUACACAUGAAUAAACUGAGGAUUAUAGGGCACACAUGUUUUGCCUGAGCUCAGAUGGUUAUGAAACUAGCAAUGAAGCUGGGCUGGGAUUCUCCUUCUUGAUGUAUGAAAGCAGAGUGUGUACUCUAAGCUACACACUAUAGAAGACCCUUGAGAAUCACAAAAUACCAAUUAUUUCAAUUGAUAAAUUUGUGCAAUGUGCUCACAUACAUCACUGGCAAAUAUAUCCGUUGGGAUAAUUUCUAAAUUGCAUCUAGUAAGAAAGAGUUCAUUAAACUUUUCAUUUUGUUACAUUAAAAUCCAUUUGUCUUCCUUGCAUUACUCAUGAUUUUGUAACAUCAUUCAAGGUCUCGAAAAGAGAGCAGAAACUUCUAGGGUUGCCCCCCAAAAACUUACCUGCUGUAGCCACACUCCAAGACUUCUGAGAAGCAAAGCCAAAGUUUAAACCUAAAUGUGGAUCAGUUACAACACGUGUAGAAUUUCAACCUUACAAGGUCUGUUACAUGAACGUAAAAGAAUGGACUAGGAAGGACUGGGGCCCUGAGAACCAAGAUGAAGACAAGCUGGCAGUCUCCGGUGAAGCUGGGAGCAGGGCCAGCUUCCUGGGUAUGUGAUCUGUUGCAGCCCACAGGACCCUAGUUAAUGCUCUGCUAUCACUGCCUUGACAUUUUUAAUAGUUUUGUUUUUAAACUUGUGUGAGUAAGUGAAGUUCAGUGAGAGGACAGAGCAUGUAGGUGAGCAGAGGAGAUACACAGGACAGCAGGACACAGGACAGAAUCACAUGCAGGCUCAGGUUCAUGGGCACAGUGGGCAGCAUGUGAGCUGAACAGUUGGAUGGGCUAUUUUGAGUGCAUGAGCACACAGGGCUCUCUGGUGUUUUGCGGCUAUCCAAAGUGAGUGGCAGUAAACUUUUCAGUAAAUUAUUACACAAUAAAAGCAUAUACAUGGACAAGGCAAUAAGGUAUAUUGGAGAGUUAUUAGAAUCCUUCAAAAAGUUUAGAGACUGUGGUUUUGAAAGUUGAUAUAACAUUACAAUUUGGAUAUCUGCAGGUUUAGAAAUAGAAAUUACAUGUAAGGAUAGCAGCUUAAUGGAAAAGAGCAUCAUUUUCUCACCUUUUAAUGCUAUCUUCUUUUGUUUUUUUCCUUAACAUCUUUUUUUUCAACUUUUAUUUUAGAAUUGGGGGUUCAUUUGCAGGUUUGUUACAAUAGUAUAUUAUGUGAUGCUAGAGUUUGGAGUUAUAAUGAAUCCAUUACCCAGGUAGUGAGCAUAGUACUGAAAAGGUGAUUUUUUUCAAUCCUUAACCCCCUCCCUCUGUCCCCUCCCUUGUAUUCUCCAGGGUCUACUGUUCUCAUUUCUAUGACCUUGUGUACCUAAUGUUUAGCCCCUACUUAUAAGUGAGGACAUGUCAUAUUUGGCUUUAUGUUUCAGUGCUAGUUCACUUAGUUAUCCUAAGUUAUCCUAAUGGUUUCCAGCCACAUCCAUGGCUGCAUAGUAGUCCAUGUUGUAUAUGUACCGUGUUUUCCUUAUCAAAUCCACUGCUGAUGGACACCUGGGUUGAUUCCAUGUCUUUGCUAUUGUGAAUAGUGCUGUGAUGAACAUAUGGGCACACAUGUCUUUCGGUAGGAUGGUUUAUUAUCCUUUGGGUAUGUAGCCAGUAGUGGGAUUGCUGGGUGGAAUGAACUCUCAGUUCUUUGAGAAAUCUCCAAACUGCUCUCUAUAGUUGCUGAACUGAUUUACAUUCCCAGCAACAGUGUAUAAGUGUUGCCUUUUCUCCACAGCUUCAUCAACAUCUGCUAUUUUUUUUGGCUUUUUAACAAAAGCCAAACAUUGUGGUUUUGGUUUGCAUUUCUAUGAUGAUUAGUGAUGAGCAUUUUUUUUCAUGUUUCCACUUGUAUGCUUUUUUUUUUUUUGAGAAGUAUCUGAAGAGCAUUAUUUUCAUGUGAAGUUUUGAACAGCCACAUUUUAACAUAAAGGAUAAUAUUGAAAUUAAUUAACUUUUUUUUUUUUUGAGACGGAGUCUCACUCUGUCGCCCAGGCUGGAGUGCAGUGGUGCGAUCUCAGCUGACUGCAACCUCCGCCUCCUGGGUUCAAGUGAUUCUCCUGCCUCAGCCUCCUGAGUAGCUGGGAUUACAGGCCCCUGCCACCAUGCCUGGCUAAUUUUAGUAGAGAUGGGGUUUCACCAAGUUGGCCAGGCUGGUCUCGAAUUCCUGACCCGUGAUCCGCCUGCCUCAGCCUCCCAAAGUGCUGGGAUUACAGGCGUGACCUACCGUGCCUGGCCUGAAAUUAAUUUUUUAAUAAUUGAAGAUACAGUGAUAAAAUGAAUAAACAAGGAUUUUGAAUUAUAUCUAUAUCAUUAAGCCAUUUCUAGUUUCUUAUACAGCUUCCACAAGUUCCUAAAAAUUUCAGAGGAAACAUUAAAACAGCACUGUGUAAAUUUACAUUGAAAACUGAGUUCAGACGUACAUAAAACUGAUUUGUGGUAAGAAAUAAAUUGUUUUAGAAAAAUUGUUUCACAGGGACCAUCAACCACUGAUUUACUACAAUUUAUAUUUCAGUUAAUCCAUCAGAUAAGUAUGCUAAUGUUGUCACAGUAUAUAAAAUACCUUUAAGAACUCCAGUAUCAGUUGCAUCAGCAGAAAUAUCUUUCUCGCAGUUAGAAAUGAAAAAUUCUAGUUAAGAUUUUGCAUUUCAUAAGAGCACUUGACAUUGCUUUCAUUUAUAUGCUUGAAAAUGAAGUUGCUCCAGGCAUGAAUUUUGCUAACCUCAUAAAUUAAUUUGCAGAAAAG
Long non-coding RNA from Pan troglodytes (chimpanzee), 4661 nucleotides. RefSeq lists it as uncharacterized. Lineage: Eukaryota; Metazoa; Chordata; Mammalia; Primates; Hominidae. The transcript has 3 exons. The record is from RefSeq and is a predicted model, not a curated record.